Molecule: unclassified non-coding RNA, 385 nt
Filed under: fungal sp.
Lineage: Eukaryota; Fungi
Description: partial internal transcribed spacer region
Rfam family: Eukaryotic small subunit ribosomal RNA (bases 1-46)
Source: RNAcentral
AAGUCGUAACAAGGUUUCCGUAGGUGAACCUGCGGAAGGAUCAUUAACACGUAUCCAACGUUAAACAACCCUGUGAACUUUCAACCGCUCUUGUAGCCCACGCGGAACAGCAAUCCCGGUAAAUCAAUUGGAGAAAAGGUUUUGAUUCGGGACCUCUGUCCAUCAGGCUAGGGCAUAUAGCCCUGUGACAUGUCUGCCGGCCGGUGAUCGACCUCUGGCAACCGUGAGGCGUUAUCCUUACUCAGUGGAUCCUUCUGCACUGCUUAGGGAAACCAUGCCACUGCUCCUAGCUCGAUUGUCCUCAUUCACACCUUGCCCUAUCUGGCCCCACGGAAACGUUGGGGCACAAACCGAACAACUGUUAACAAUGGAUAUCUUGGUUCUC